AUUGAACGCUGGCGGCAGGCCUAACACAUGCAAGUCGAGCGGAAGAAGGGAGCUCGCUCCUGGAUUCAGCGGCGGACGGGUGAGUAAUGCCUAGGAAUCUGCCUGGUAGUGGGGGAUAACGUCCGGAAACGGGGGCUAAUACCGCAUACGCCCUGAGGGAGAAAGUGGGGGAUCUUCGGACCUCACGCUAUCAGAUGAGCCUAGGUCGGAUUAGGUAGUUGGUGGGGUAAAGGCCUACCAAGGCGGCGGUCCGUAACUGGUCUGAGAGGAAGAUCAGUCACCCUGGAAAUGAGACACGGGCCAGGCUCCUUCGGGAGGCAACAGUGGGGAAUAUUGGACAAUGGGCGAAAGGCUGGUCCAGCCAUGCCGCGUGGGUGAAGAAGGUCUUCGGAUUUUAAAGCACCUUAAGUUGGGAGGAAGGGCAGUAAGUUAAUACCUUGGUGUUUUGACGUUUCCAAGAGAAUGAGGUCCGGCUAACUUCGUG
Molecule: ribosomal RNA, 484 nt
Filed under: uncultured bacterium
Lineage: Bacteria
Description: partial 16S ribosomal RNA
Rfam family: Bacterial small subunit ribosomal RNA
Source: RNAcentral